Molecule: small nuclear RNA, 101 nt
Filed under: Nannospalax galili (Upper Galilee mountains blind mole rat)
Lineage: Eukaryota; Metazoa; Chordata; Mammalia; Rodentia; Spalacidae
Source: RNAcentral
AUGCCCUUCAGCUGCACAUAUACUAAAACUGGAAGGAUAUGGAGAUUAGCAUGGCCACUGCCCAAAUUCACACACAAAUUCAUGGCGCAUUCCAUAUUUUA